AGGUCCACUUGCAGUGAAAUAAACCAGAGGUUUGAAUCAUGGCUUGAUACGAAAUUAUUGGAAAGAAUAUGGCGAUGACAUCCACAAUGCCGGGGGACUACACAACGGCACGAACACUAGGAAUUGAAGAUCAUGGACGCCACCUUAAAAUCUGUCCACCACACCAAGGUAAGAAGACGAAAUUACAAGCAGGAUGAAAAAUUUGUUCAAUGAAACACAGCUAUUAAGUGGCUGAAUAAAGAAAAUAUUUAGAAGAUGAGAUUCCUGUGUUUCUGGCUUUCAUGACUUUUUAGAUUUCCUUUCUACUGGAAAACUUUUAACUUUGAAAACCGCAAGUAAUAUUUUUCUUCCUGAAACCUCUGCAGUGGUAGCAAUGCACUGAAGUUUGAUUAAAAGGUUACUGGUCAUUCCUGCCAUGAGAAGAUGAUAGAGAAUAUCACCACAGUGUGACUUGCUUCCAAGGCAGCAUGGUUUCAUGCAGAGGAUCUAAACUGGGGACCAUGUGCUGGGCUGCAAAAGGGCUGUGCAGUGCCUAAAAUGUUAUGCAAAAUUUUAUAAAGG
Molecule: long non-coding RNA, 561 nt
Filed under: Homo sapiens (human)
Lineage: Eukaryota; Metazoa; Chordata; Mammalia; Primates; Hominidae
Description: HSALNT0251383
Source: RNAcentral